This 497-nucleotide ribosomal RNA is filed under the name uncultured bacterium. RNAcentral's name for it is "partial 16S ribosomal RNA". It matches the Rfam family "Bacterial small subunit ribosomal RNA", at positions 28 to 507 of the family's 1533-position model. The record is from RNAcentral.
GAUGAACGCUGGCGGCGUGCCUAAUACAUGCAAGUCGAGCGAACGGACGAGAAGCUUGCUUCUCUGAUGUUAGCGGCGGACGGGUGAGUAACACGUGGAUAACCUACCUAUAAGACUGGGAUAACUUCGGGAAACCGGAGCUAAUACCGGAUAAUAUUUUGAACCGCAUGGUUCAAAAGUGAAAGAUGGUCUUGCUGUCACUUAUAGAUGGAUCCGCGCUGCAUUAGCUAGUUGGUAAGGUAACGGCUUACCAAGGCAACGAUGCAUAGCCGACCUGAGAGGGGGAUCGGCCACACUGGAACUGAGACACGGUCCAGACUCCUACGGGAGGCAGCAGUAGGGAAUCUUCCGCAAUGGGCGAAAGCCUGACGGAGCAACGCCGCGUGAGUGAUGAAGGUCUUCGGAUCGUAAAACUCUGUUAUUAGGGAAGAACAUAUGUGUAAGUAACUGUGCACAUCUUGACGGUACCUAAUCAGAAAGCCACGGCUAACUACGUG